GUGCCAGCAGCCGCGGUAAUUCCAGCUCCAAUAGCGUAUAUUAAAGUUGUUGUGGUUAAAAAGCUCGUAGUUGAACCUUGGGCCUGGCUGGCCGGUCCGCCUCACCGCGUGCACUGGUCCGGCCGGGCCUUUCCCUCUGUGGAACCCCAUACCCUUCACUGGGCGUGGCGGGGAAACAGGACAUUUACUUUGAAAAAAUUAGAGUGCUCCAGGCAGGCCUAUGCUCGAAUACAUUAGCAUGGAAUAAUAAAAUAGGACGCGCGGUUCUAUUUUGUUGGUUUAUAGGACCGCCGUAAUGAUUAAUAGGGACAGUCGGGGGCAUCAGUAUUCAACUGUCAGAGGUGAAAUUCUUGGAUCAGUUGAAGACUAACUACUGCGAAAGCAUUUGCCAAGGAUGUUUUCAUUAAUCAGGAACGAAAGUUAGGGGAUCGAAGACGAUCAGAUACCGUCGUAGUCUUAACCAUAAACUAUGCCGACUAGGGAUCGGACGGUGUUAUUCAUGACCCGUUCGGCACCUUACGAGAAAUCAAAGUGCUUGGGCUCCAGGGGGAGUAUGGUCGCAAGGCUGAAACUUAAAGAAAUUGACGGAAGGGCACCACCAGGGGUGGAGCCUGCGGCUUAAUUUGACUCAACACGGGGAAACUCACCAGGUCCAGACACAAUAAGGGAUUGACAGAUUGAGAGCUCUUUCUUGAUUUUGUGGGUGGUGGUGCAUGGCCGUUCUUAGUGGUGGGGUGACUUGUCUGCUUAAUUGCGAUAACGAACGAGACCUUAACCUGCUAAAUAGUCCGCAUGGCUCCGGCAGUGCGCUGGCU
This 815-nucleotide ribosomal RNA is filed under the name uncultured fungus. RNAcentral's name for it is "SSU rRNA". It matches the Rfam family "Eukaryotic small subunit ribosomal RNA", at positions 564 to 1386 of the family's 1831-position model. Lineage: Eukaryota; Fungi. The record is from RNAcentral.